CUGGCCGGACACCACCUGGCUAAGGAAAGAAAUUCUGAAGUGGGUCACUCUGGGGCUCGUUGUUGUCAAAUUGAUAAGUCACAGGCAGUCCCCACGGAGACAUUUGGCUGUUACAAGGCAAGGUAGCGGGCGUUCACGAAGCCGAAGCCUGUCGAUGUGAAGCUAACCAUGUGGCUUAAAGUGUCAAACCGGACCAACACUUUCUUAAGAAAGAAAUGGUGCCCCACCUGGUGUUUCUGUGCUUGAUGGUGCACUCACCAUCAAGCCAAGUCUACAGCUAGAGUAACAAGCUCGCGCUACCGAGCUCAGGCAGACCUCAAGAUCAAUGAAAAUUAUUUUAUACAAUUCUGUUUCUUUGAGAUAAGCCGAUGUGGGAUCGUUUUCCUUCUGUUUUACAUGGCCUAGUUUUACAUUUUUUUGCUGGGUUAAUAAGCCUUUAUAGGAGAUCAAAUGGGCAGUCUGCAUAGGGCAAACAAAGAAGAUAAGGAUUCUUCAUCUUCGGUUUGGUUCCAUUCCUUUCCUUGGAAAAUUUUCAAUUUUGUUAUUUUCAUUCUUAGGUUUUAAACUUUUAAGGUGG
This 577-nucleotide long non-coding RNA is filed under the name Durio zibethinus. RNAcentral's name for it is "long non-coding RNA (DZIB_LNC002318)". Lineage: Eukaryota; Viridiplantae; Streptophyta; Magnoliopsida; Malvales; Malvaceae. The record is from RNAcentral.